GAUGAACGCUGGCGGCGUGCCUUAUACAUGCAAGUCGAGCGAACGGACGAGAAGCUUGCUUUUCUGAUGUUAGCGGCGGACGGGUGAGUAACACGUGGAUAACCUACCUAUAAGACUGGGAUAACUUCGGGAAACCGGAGCUAAUACCGGAUAAUAUUUUGAACCGCAUGGUUCAAAAGUGAAAGACGGUCUUGCUGUCACUUAUAGAUGGAUCCGCGCUGCAUUAGCUAGUUGGUAAGGUAACGGCUUACCAAGGCAACGAUGCAUAGCCGACCUGAGAGGGUGAUCGGCCACACUGGAACUGAGACACGGUCCAGACUCCUACGGGAGGCAGCAGUAGGGAAUCUUCCGCAAUGGGCGAAAGCCUGACGGAGCAACGCCGCGUGAGUGAUGAAGGUCUUCGGAUCGUAAAACUCUGUUAUUAGGGAAGAACAUAUGUGUAAGUAACUGUGCACAUCUUGACGGUACCUAAUCAGAAAGCCACGGCUAACUACGUG
Molecule: ribosomal RNA, 497 nt
Filed under: uncultured bacterium
Lineage: Bacteria
Description: partial 16S ribosomal RNA
Rfam family: Bacterial small subunit ribosomal RNA
Source: RNAcentral